GGGGGCGUGGCGAAAUGGCAAACGCGGCGGUCUGUCAAACCGCUGUCAUCCCAGGUGACUUACAGGUUCGAUUCCUGUCGCCCCUACCA
RNAcentral lists this transfer RNA (89 nucleotides) under Chloroflexota bacterium. Its description in RNAcentral is "Chloroflexi bacterium tRNA-Asp". It matches the Rfam family "tRNA". Rfam says of the family: Transfer RNA (tRNA) molecules are approximately 80 nucleotides in length. RNAcentral also lists the same sequence under 1 other name. Lineage: Bacteria; Bacillati; Chloroflexota. The record is from RNAcentral.